UUCACUCAAUAGGCAAUAAAUUCAUUAACAUAUCAUUGGUAUAUGAUUUCCAAAUUCUGUAAACAGAAAUGCCAACUGCAGCGAGAAGGGACAGUGAGUUUUCAUAUGACCUGAGAGCUCCGUGGAUCCAAUAUAUGAUUGCAAGGAUAACUGCUACAUUUUGUUCUGUUUCGUCUUUAAUGCAGGGGAGUUGAACUAUGUUCUGAAAUACCUAGAGGCAUUUGACUUGGAAAUCAUGCUUUCAGCUGGCAACACAACAGCAACUGCCAAGGUUGAGAUUCUUUACAAUUGAAUUGAGGAUCACACCUCUUUCAGAGGAGAUGGAUUGUGUUCUUGAUAGUAACCACUGGCCAAAAGUUGAGGGGACCUUUACUAACAGGAAAUUUCCAAGAAAAUUUUCAAUUUUGAAAAUAGAAAACAGGAAAUGUGUUUACUAUGCUAUGUUUUAAUUUUCAAAGUUGAGAACAAUUCUCUAUUUUAGAGGAAAUCAGAGACACGUUCAAAACUUGUUUUCAGAUUAGGAAAUCGCCGCGUGAACAGUAAAACGCUAGCAUCGAUUCCUGGCCGCAGCAUCUUUCUUCCUCAUUUUUCUUCUCACUUUUUUCUGCACCUUCUUCUUCUCUUUCACAACCCUCACCGUUCUUCACUUUCUUCUUUCUUCCUCAUUCUUCACUUUCUUCUUCCUGGGUUCGCCGGUGCUGCCUCGCCGCUGGUCUCUUUGCUUUGCUAGUCCGAACGAGGGGGAGAGAGAGAUGCGAAGGAGAGUGGAACUUUCUUCUUCCUGGGUUCGCCGGUGCUGCCUCGCCGCCGGUCUCCUUGCUCUGCUAGUCCAAAGGAGGGGGAGAGAGAGAUGCGAGAGAGAUGCGAAGGAACGUGAACUUUCUUCUUCCUGGGUUCGCAGGUGCUGCCUCACUGCCGGUCUACUUGCUCUGCUAGUCCGAACGAGGAUGAGAGAUGCGAAGGAGAUUGAGAGAGAGGGCGUGAAGGAGGGUAAGAAAAUGCAGACAUUGCUGACUUCUAUUACUCUCUUAUUCCCACCAGUUCAUGCCUUAAAGGCCCUGAUCUAAUUGUCAUUGAAACUUGGGAUUGAAUUUCUGCUUAAAUUUAUGACCUGAGUCUAGAUCUUUGUUGUUUGGAUGGUUGGGUUAUUUGUUUGCUGUUUGAUCAAUGCAACUCAAAUCUAAUGUGGGUA
Ipomoea nil (Japanese morning glory) is the source of this 1192-nucleotide long non-coding RNA. RefSeq lists it as uncharacterized. Lineage: Eukaryota; Viridiplantae; Streptophyta; Magnoliopsida; Solanales; Convolvulaceae. The transcript has 2 exons. The record is from RefSeq and is a predicted model, not a curated record.